Paramisgurnus dabryanus is the source of this 4205-nucleotide RNA transcript. It is a transcript of the gene named zinc finger, CCHC domain containing 2, with no coding region annotated. NCBI's taxonomy places the organism in Eukaryota, Metazoa, Chordata, Actinopteri, Cypriniformes, Cobitidae. The record is from RefSeq and is a predicted model, not a curated record.
GAAUAUUCUGGAGGCACGGCAGGCGAGUAAUCUGGCAAGCUGACCGCAGCCACACCGCGAGACAACCGACGAAUUUUAGCGAAAUUCUGACCCGAACCGGGAUUAACAUCGCGUUUUGAUGCCAAAACAUCAGUGGGAAAGUGCCACCAAUGGACUUCAAUCAUUGACGAUCUCAUUUGAGAGCUGAUAAUGAUGAAGAUGAAGCUGCGUACGGCGGGAGGCGAAAAUCACCGAUGCGACUUGAGUUUGGUUAACGGAACCGAUCGCUCGGCUUGUCGCGAGGGCGGCACCGGAGCGCCUCCGCUCGAUAAGGAGACUGUGUUCGAGUGGUUCGGCUUACGGCUGAGCCCUGCCGGACGCAUCGAGCUGCUCUGCGGGCUACUGCAUAUGUGUCAGCCGCUGGAGCUGCGUUUCCUCGGCGCCUGUCUUGAGGAUCUGGCCCGAAAAGACUUCACCUUCCUGCGGGACUUCGAGACCCGGGCCAACUUCCCCGCGGAUCUAGAGGGGCUGGUGGACGUGGGCGACCCCGUGGUGCUGUCCAAGCUGCUCGUUUAUUUGUCCCUCCUCGGAUCCAAGAGCAGAGAAUGUGCGGGGAUAUUAUUCAGGACGCUGAGCCGAAUAAACGCGGGGAUGUGCGGGGCUCUACCGGAGCCGGAUACGGUUGACCAGCUGCGGCUGCUCUACACGAUGGGCUCGUUACACCCGGCGUUCAGCUUUCAUCAGCGGGAAGAGCUACGAGCGCAGCUGGAAAGACUCCAGGGAUGGAUUCAGUUUUCCAGUCCCGGGUUCCUCUGUCCACACCAGGAGAAUGAAGUGGACUGGACUCUGUGCAGCGAUCCGAAUCCACACCUCAGCAGCAGGUCACAGAGAGAAGUGGUGCACAUUGAGAAGAUCAUUCUGAAGGAGAUUUGUGUGGCAGGAGACAGCAGGCAGUACACUUUUGAGGUAAAAUGGUCAGACGCUUCAUCCACCACUGUCAGCAAAAGUCAUUGUGAAUUAGAGGACUUUCUGUUAAAGCUUCCUAAGGAGCAGAGCCCUGAUGGCUUUGAGAAAAGCAUUGUCAGGAUAUUAAGUCGAGCAGAUCAAUGUGAGUCCAGAGAACUGGAGAGAAAUCUCAGGGAGAAGUUUUUGUCUUUAUCACAGGAGGUUCUCCAGAGGUGUGACGUCUCCACGUUCUUCAUGUCUGAUCCAUCUUUACGGCCCUGCAGCCACUGUACCAGAGCACCUGUAUCCAGAAUCCAUCAGCCUGCACGUGGUUUCUCUGAAGACUGUUCGGAGACCUCCAGUCUGGAAGAAGACGUGGAGGGUUACAGAGUCAGAGCCACGGGUCCGAGUCAUCAGCAUUCAGAAAGCCAGAGAAGAGGAAACUGUGAGCAGAACGGGGAGAGAGUUUGGAUGAAAGAAAGCGAACUAGAACCGAGCUGCACAAAUGACAGAAGAAUCCCGACGCCCGGACAGAAGAGCAAAGUGAGAGCUGCUAACAAAAGAAAUAAGAAAGUCAUUCAGGUUUGGAACAGCAAGUUUAACAGGGAGCGAGGCCGAAGGGUGACCAGCGCAAAGAGUUGUGCUGGGAUCCAGAAACCUUCUGCAACACUCGUCAUCAACCAGACGGCUUGCAAAGACACUGGAAGGGUCAGAUAUGGAGACACAUCCUCGGAUAGCUCCAACUCCGUGCCAUCAAGCCCUGUUCACCACAAGAGCCUGGAGGAGCAAGACACAGAGAGUCAGUCCGACAACUCUGCUCAGGAACCGUCUGAAAAAACUCACCUCGCCAAAAGCAUUGGCGGGAAAGCGGUUGCCAUGGUGAAUCCGUUAGUCGCUGAACCUAAGAGCGUCCCGCAGCCUCCUUCGAUGGUAGAGUUGACCGCUCGCUUCCCCUGCGGCCUGCAGUACAACCCGACCCAGAGAGACGCCAGCGAGGGCAAGAUAACCAUAACCAUCCCGCUGGUCAGAGACGCAGUAACGUCUGCCAGCACACAGACACAGCAGCAACCCCCGCCGGGUCAUCUGCAGCCAGGAAACAGCACUGCCAGCAAUCCGAUCAAAACAAAUGCCAAGGCUUCCAACAAUGCCACCGCUUCCAGCGCAAGCUCAUGCCCUCUCUCCACUAGCCAAAUCCCGGGACCUUGUCCCACGAGCGUGCACGCCCCGGGGCCAGCACCCCUGCCGCCCCCCGCCGUCACGCACAGCACGGCUCAGAGCGAUUCCUUGUCUUACAUCAACACCUCAAACCCGCCGGUCACGGCGCAGACGCAGGCCAGCGGGACGGGCUGCAACGCAUGCGGCUGCCGCGGUAGUUGCAGCGGAAACGUCGCCCAUCAAACGCUAGGCUACUUCCUGCCUCCCCAACAUGCUCGUCAGAUGUUUGUUCCCCCGCCUACGUUCUUCAACCUCCCGCCUUCAAGUUUUCCCGCUCAGGGCCACCAGAGUAACGGGACGCCUUUGACGUUUUACUCUCCCGGGGCUUUUCUCCACCCUCAUUCGGACCACAUGUUGGCCACGCAAGCGGGAUACAACCUGCCUCAAAUGCAGCAUUUUCGACGCUUCUACCAACCUCAACCCAUCUUUUCGCCGGUCGGCCUGCUGUCGGGUGGAAACAACGUUAAGAAGGUCACCAACGCUUCCUGUUACAACUGCGGAAUGACCGGACAUUACGCCCCGGAUUGCAAGCAGCCGUCCAUCGAUGCCGGACUGACAGGUAACAUCAGGGUCUGGAGAUGAUGAUGAUGAUGAUGUUUUAGGUCAGAAACAUAUUCUACCUAAGGAAACAAACACCGAUGUGGGUUCCGGCUAAAGUACGUGGGGCCGAACUCCUCAGAUGCGGUAGACAAAAAUGAUUGACAGCAAGCAGAGGACCGAUUUCCAGUGAUGCAUACAUUCAUGCUCGCAUUAGCAUCCUAAAAGAAAAGAGCCAAGAGGAAGAGUUUUGGACACACACUGAUAAAACGACAAGUCGACAGUGUUUACUUUAAGACUUCUCUUAAACGGCGGCUGGCUAAUAGUUGAUUUGUUUUAGGUUAAGUAUAAAUACUUUUUUAUGCAAACCGAUAUCGUCAGCGGCGCCUGAUGGACACGAAUAGGAAAAAUGAAACUUGAGUCCUUUAGUGCAGUAUUUGGUUAUUUUAUUGAGAAAGAGAAGAUAAAAUACUGUAAUAUUUUGUAAGUUGUUAUUUAGUUACAGCUUUGUAGGUGCCGGUUUGCUUCGUUCUCGUUCUGAACACGAUGCACUACAGCCUUCGUUCUCUGAAUAAUGUGAGUGAGGUAUUUGAAAUGCACUGAAACAGCCAGGUUUGUCACAAACUCUGACCACUAGAGGGCGCAAGAGUUCCCCCUGCACCUUUAGGCCAUAAGAACUCAAACCCAGUGCUUUCUGGGAUGUAUGCUUACUCGGGUUAGAUUCAAACAAUAUACAUAUUCAAUCUAAACCUAAAGCACUGUUCCAGAAUUGUAUUUCGAGAGUCGCAAGACGCUCUCUAACCAACAGGGAAGGGAAAAGGAAAAUAUUGUCUUGAUUUCACAUAAUUCUAGAACAACGAGCAUUUACGUUGCUUGUGUGUGGUGAAAUAGUUUUCUGCUAGUUGUAAAGAGGGGUUUGACAUUUGUGCCUAUUGUCAUGCGAACACUUACGUGUGCGUGUUGAAAAUAAUUUAGCAAGGUCUUAAUUCUGUGUUAUAAAUAUAUAUAUAUUUCAAAUAUCAAAGUUAUAAUUUCGAAAUGGCCAAAGCUUCUCUUUUUAUAUGAAGAUUUGGCAUGUUUGUAUUGAGAAAAGCAAGUAUUUUAUUUUGAUAUUUUCGAGGACAGUUCGAGACCUUGGCCUGGUUUAUUUAAGCACAUUUUAUCACUACCUGCGUUGUGUAAAGGCAAACUUGCUUUCUAUCCAUUACAGUGGAUUGUGUUGCAGGUUUUUAAAUGUGCUUGGUUUAGUUUGGUUAAAUGAGGACUGUAAAUUGACACUAAUGGGGGGUUUAAUGCUCAAAGCUAAACCCCCAAAAAACUUGAGCGUAUUCGUUACACUUUUUUUUAUAGAUUUAUGAAGCUGUACUGUAUGGAUGAGGUUUUCCUCAGAGUUUACGUUUACUGUAUUUCAUAUUUCAAAUGUUUAAUAAUCUGUACUGAAAGUCAAAUUAAUCGGAUCACAUUUGUAUUUUUUUGGCAAAGUGUCCCAUUUAUGUCAAAAUAUUAGCAAUAAAUGAAAAACAAACCCA